AAAGGGAGACCUAAUUCAGGUAAAAGACGAAAAAAAAGUAGUCGCUACCAAGAAUCAAUCCCAAAAGGUCGGAGCGAGGCGAAAUUGGCUUUCAAACUAGGUUCUGGGUUCAAACAAGACCUGAAUCAGGAACAAGGGCUAUUAGCUCAGGUGGUUAGAGCGCACCCCUGAUAAGGGUGAGGUCCCUGGUUCGAGUCCAGGAUGGCCCACCUGCACAGGUGGCAAAAACAAAAGAAGCGAGGAAUCAGCACCUUAUCUUAUAUACAUAUAUAAGAGAGAAUGCUGGCUCUGAGUACAGAGUCCAGAGGAACCUUGAAAACUGCAUAGAGCUAGGUGAAAAAGCCAAAAAAGAAGACCGCAAG
RNAcentral lists this transfer RNA (362 nucleotides) under uncultured Microcystis sp. RNAcentral describes it as "partial 16S-23S ribosomal RNA intergenic spacer". The stretch from base 136 to 209 matches the Rfam family "tRNA". Lineage: Bacteria; Bacillati; Cyanobacteriota; Cyanophyceae; Chroococcales; Microcystaceae. The record is from RNAcentral.